RNAcentral lists this ribosomal RNA (454 nucleotides) under uncultured bacterium. Its description in RNAcentral is "bacterial SSU rRNA". It matches the Rfam family "Bacterial small subunit ribosomal RNA", at positions 791 to 1240 of the family's 1533-position model. The record is from RNAcentral.
UAGUCCACGCUGUAAACGAUGAAUACUAGGUGUAGGAGGUAUCGACCCCUCCUGUGCCGCAGCUAACGCAAUAAGUAUUCCGCCUGGGGAGUACGACCGCAAGGUUGAAACUCAAAGGAAUUGACGGGGACCCGCACAAGCAGCGGAGCAUGUGGUUUAAUUCGACGCAACGCGAAGAACCUUACCAGGACUUGACAUCCACAGAAUCUUUCAGAAACGUUAGAGUGCCUUUCGGGAGCUGUGAGACAGGUGGUGCAUGGUUGUCGUCAGCUCGUGUCGUGAGAUGUUGGGUUAAGUCCCGCAACGAGCGCAACCCUUAUGUUUAGUUACCAGCAUGUAAUGGUGGGGACUCUAGACAGACUGCCGGGGACAACUCGGAGGAAGGUGGGGACGACGUCAAAUCAUCAUGCUCCUUAUGUCCUGGGGCUACACACGUGCUACAAUGGGUCGUUAC